Molecule: long non-coding RNA, 384 nt
Organism: Triticum aestivum (bread wheat)
Lineage: Eukaryota; Viridiplantae; Streptophyta; Magnoliopsida; Poales; Poaceae
Exons: 3
Source: RefSeq, a predicted model, not a curated record
CGGCGCGUGGUGAAGUACCCACCAGAAGGUAGCGCACAAUGCCCUAGUCGAUCUAGAAAAACGCCCUAGUCCCCUUUUUUCUUCGUCGUGGAUACCCACCGCCGACACCAAACUUCAGUCCGCAAUCGUGGGAGAGCCAUCGCCGCCGAUGCCACGACGCACAGUGAUGUAGGAGGACCACGCCGGUUUACUCGUCAUCAGGCUUUGAUGGGAAAAAAUAGUCACCAUGAGCAGGAUUUUAAUUUGGCAUUCAAACAUAGGAAUUAUGUGGAAAAUUAGGACCAUGGGAUGAUGUCUACUGAAGCGUGAUUUACCACUGAAGGUUUACAUAAGGAGGGAGAAUGCCGACAGCUGGAAUUCUGGACUGGAAAAGGAGCAAAUAUU